UACACCGCAGGCGUUUGAAAUAACGCUAACCAGUGGAAAUUGAACCGAUAAAGGCAGGGCUUAGUAAGCGAAAGCCCACCAGCCCUGAGGUGAUAAGA
This 98-nucleotide non-coding RNA is filed under the name unclassified sequences. RNAcentral describes it as "RT-4 RNA". It matches the Rfam family "RT-4 RNA". The record is from Rfam by way of RNAcentral.